This 62-nucleotide transfer RNA is filed under the name Hirudo nipponia. RNAcentral describes it as "tRNA-Ile". The record is from RNAcentral. Lineage: Eukaryota; Metazoa; Annelida; Clitellata; Hirudinida; Hirudinidae.
AACGCUAAGCCGGAAUAACGGGUAACUUUGAUGUAGUUAAUUAUGAGUAAUAUCUAGUGUUU